UACAGAGGCCUCGAGCGUUAGGCGGAAUCACUGGGCUUAAAGCGUGUGUAGGCGGAUCGUUAAGUGCCUUGUGAAAUCCCACGGCUUAACCGUGGAACUGCUUGGCAUACUGGCGGUCUUGAGCCACUUAGGGGCGACCGGAACAAACGGUGGAGCGGUGAAAUGCGUAGAUAUCGUUUGGAACGCCAAAGGUGAAAACAGGUCGCUGGGAGUGUGCUGACGCUGAGACACGAAAGCCAGGGGAGCAAACGGG
This 253-nucleotide ribosomal RNA is filed under the name uncultured bacterium. Its description in RNAcentral is "partial 16S ribosomal RNA". It matches the Rfam family "Bacterial small subunit ribosomal RNA", at positions 524 to 776 of the family's 1533-position model. The record is from RNAcentral.